AUUGCCUCCCACGUUCAGCCUGUACACAUUUUCAAGAGCAGUGCUGUUAUUGAUGUAAUAAAGAUUAUACUGCCCCACCAAUAUGAUGCCACCACUAUCUUCACGGAGAUAAAGAUCAGUUGGCAUGGAAACAAUCUCGAUCCCAUUAACAAAAGCGUAAGAGUUCGGCGAAGGAGAAAAGGUUAUAUUGAGUAUCUGAGUUUCAUCAACAUUGAUGACAUAUUCUUUUUGAAUUUUUAAACUAGAAUCGGUACUUGCAGCGACCGUGAGGAAAGCGCUGAAGUUACUCAAGAGGGUAAACUGAUUAGCUGUUACAGAGAAAAAGGAUUCGGAUUUGUUGAAGCCAAGGUAUGUGGUGGGGUAAAAAUAGAGACGGAGGAAACUAGUGCCAGGAGGAACACGGAAAGGGUAGGUGAAUUUAGAUUUGAAAAUACGAGCAUUCGUAUAAGGGACUCUAGAAACUGAAGAGUCUUGUUCAGAGGCUGUGGCUGGUGAUGAUAUGGUUGAUGAAUUGGAAGGUAACAAAUUGGGAUAGUGGGUAUCAGUAUCCCAUCGACGGCCAUCUUCAUCAGUGGCGACUGAUGGUGCGCCACAGUUGAGCAAGAAAUAUACUGUGGCAUUAUACGAUGAAGGCGUGACAGAAAUAGUGGCCGUUAUGAGUUGUAAGAGGAGAAAUGAAAUCAAAGCAAUGGCAACCAUGGUUGUGGUGGUUAUGAAAGUAAAAUACUACUAUGGAUUUGGUGUGUAGAUAGAUAUUAGUUAGAUGAAGUAAUAAUUAUACUCAACAAUAGCAAAGACUUGAGGGUUGACUCUCAAGUCAUUUUUGCUACUGUAAUUCUUAAUUUUGUAUGGCUGAAAGCCGACGUAGACCGAAAUAGUGUCCUUUGUCAUCAUUCGUUUAUUUUACUUUUUUGUUCAAGUAUUGUACAAAAUGAAAUAGCCUAGUAUUCAGUCUUCCGUACUUCUUGUGUUAUUAUAUAAUACUUAGUCUUUUUUUAAUUCAUUUAAAAAAGAAUGUUAAAUUUUUUUUUUUUUUUUUUGCUAACUAUUUAAAGAUAGAAUUUCAUGUUUACUCUUAUUGAUCCCACUUAUAAUGACCGACUUAAUUAAAAAUAGUAGUAGUAUAUUUUUUUAAUAAAAGAUAAUUUGAUAAAAAUUCAUCAAGUCUUUUCUUAUUUAUUAAACUCUAUAGUCUAUAUCCAGUCAAACUAUGACACAUAAAAUAAAACGCAGAAAGCAUUAUUUUCCUUUAUAAGUACUCACUGUAGCCCAACUUUCAUGACAUCGAUAAACUUUGACAAAGUAUUUAAGAAAUAAAGAAAUACGUUGAAAAUUUAUAGUCUAAAAUAAAUAUUUUAUUAUAAAAAUGGAAGUUUAAAGUUAAUUUAUUUUUGUUUAUAGAAAUAUGGCAUUUUUUGGGGAUAAAUUAAAACAAAAUGAGUCAUAGAAGUUGGAAUAACGAGAGUAAUUAAUUGACAAGAAAAGAUCAAUAUAUUUCAUUUAAGAAAUGAGUUAACUUUAAAUUUUUAGUUUUAAUAAGUAAUUUAUAGUCAGACAAGAAAGCAAAUCAUUAUAUAUUAACAUUACCUACUAGUGACAAUCAAAACCUACCCAUCAAGGUGACUUUACUGUUUAAGUGCGCAAAGUUUAGUUACUUCAAUAUGAUUAAAUAAUAUACAAGUUUACUGUUAUACCGUAUAAAGUUCAGUGACUAUGAGUGAGAUUAAAUGUAUACCUGUAUGGAGAUAACACAAUCCUUUUGCUGCGCCAAUGCAAAUCUCAAGGCGUUUCCUCCAUGGAAGAGGAGCAUUAUCAGCUUUGUACAAGUGAUCACGGAGAGUUCCAUGAGCCAUGUAAUCAUAAACCAAAAUCAUCUCAUUGUUAUCAUCACAAUAACCAAUUAAGGAUACCAAAUGCAGAUGUCUUAGCUUUGAUAACAUGUGAAUCUCUGUCUCAAACUCGCGAACUCCUUGCUUUGAUGAAGGAUUCAAUCUCUUGAUUGCAACUGUGGUUGUGCCGUUGUCUAUGUACCCUUUGUACACAUUACCGAAACCUCCAUACCCAAUCACAAAAUUGUCAUCAAAAUUUCCUGUUGCAGCUUUUAUCUCCUCCAGUAAAAAGUGUCGAGGGUAAUGAUGAUGAGCCUGACCCGCUGGUCCUUUGGGUUGAGUUCGAUGUAAUUGAUAAAGGGAUCCACGAUGAUUUUGUAACGCUUGUAUGCAGAUCCUUUCCCUUUUUCCUCCGCUGGAAAAUCAAGAAACAUAGAAUUGACAACAGAGCAAUUCCACUAAUCACACCUGCUGUGAUAACAACAAAGACAUGCCAUUUCUUUUUCUUUUUUUCCUUUGGGGUUGAAUUCUCUGGAACUUCUAACCGCGAUUCAGGAUUUGGGACGGAAAAAUUUCCUUUUCGAUCGCUCAACUUGAAAAUUUCUAAGCCAUUUAAGAUAGCAUUUUCAUACACAGCUUUUGUUUCCAUGUUAGGUCGCAAUUCAAGCGACACAUCUUUCUUGCCUCGUCGGCCAUCUGGAUCUCUCACAAACACCACGUAGUCUGUGUACAUCGGGACUCUCCAGCCGCGACUCCGUUGAAUCACAUCGACUAGUUGAUCUGCCGUUUGGUUUCCAAUGAGUAUAUCGAAAACCCGAUAGUUCUGUUCCUUAACUUCCAGCUGAAUCUCACAAAAAUGGAGCCUGAAAAGAUAGUAGAACCCAGCGUCAAGAGGAAAAAUCCAAUCCAGGCUCUGGCUGUAAUUGGCGAUGGUCCUAGAGGUUGUGUAAACUAUGUUUGGCGCCGUAUAAGCCGGGGUUUCAGAAGUGUAAUUAAUGUUGACAUCUAUAUGAGGAGUUUGAUAGUCAUAUCCAACAACAAAGUCUUCAUCUGAAUCCCAUACCCGAUACAUGCCUGUAUCCCCUGUGCUCGAAACCAAAUUGCCUCCCACGUUCAGCCUGUACACAUUUUCAAGAGCAGUGCUGUUAUUGAUGUAAUAAAGAUUAUACUGCCCCACCAAUAUGAUGCCACCACUAUCUUCACGGAGAUAAAGAUCAGUUGGCAUGGAAACAAUCUCGAUCCCAUUAACAAAAGCGUAAGAGUUCGGCGAAGGAGAAAAGGUUAUAUUGAGUAUCUGAGUUUCAUCAACAUUGAUGACAUAUUCUUUUUGAAUUUUUAAACUAGAAUCGGUACUUGCAGCGACCGUGAGGAAAGCGCUGAAGUUACUCAAGAGGGUAAACUGAUUAGCUGUUACAGAGAAAAAGGAUUCGGAUUUGUUGAAGCCAAG
This 3276-nucleotide long non-coding RNA is filed under the name Capsicum annuum. Its description in RNAcentral is "long non-coding RNA (CANN_LNC003782)". The record is from RNAcentral. Lineage: Eukaryota; Viridiplantae; Streptophyta; Magnoliopsida; Solanales; Solanaceae.